RNAcentral lists this microRNA precursor (103 nucleotides) under Marmota monax (woodchuck). The record is from RNAcentral. Lineage: Eukaryota; Metazoa; Chordata; Mammalia; Rodentia; Sciuridae.
UAGGUUAACUGAGGGCCCUGGUUUGCCCAGGACUCAGGGGUUCCCCAGGACCAGGGGCUUUCAGUCCUGGGCAAGCAGAGAUGGUUGGUCACCAUGGUGGUAA